GAGUUCAUGCCCUUCGGGGUAGAUCUCCCACCCUUUGUAUACCAUACCUCUGUUGCUUUGGCGGGCCGCCUAGCUACUGGCUUCGGCUGGUAAGUGCCCGCCAGAGGACCCUAAAUUCUGAAUUUUGUAUUGUCUGAGAAACUAUAUAAUAGUUAAAACUUUCAACAACGGAUCUCUUGGUUCU
This 184-nucleotide unclassified non-coding RNA is filed under the name rhizosphere metagenome. RNAcentral describes it as "partial ribosomal RNA internal transcribed spacer region". The record is from RNAcentral.